Molecule: ribosomal RNA, 500 nt
Filed under: uncultured bacterium
Lineage: Bacteria
Description: partial 16S ribosomal RNA
Rfam family: Bacterial small subunit ribosomal RNA
Source: RNAcentral
AUUGAACGCUGGCGGCAUGCCUUACACAUGCAAGUCGAACGGCAGCACGGGAGCAAUCCUGGUGGCGAGUGGCGAACGGGUGAGUAAUAUAUCGGAACGUGCCCAGUCGUGGGGGAUAACGCAGCGAAAGCUGUGCUAAUACCGCAUACGAUCUAUGGAUGAAAGCGGGGGAUCGCAAGACCUUGCGCGAUUGGAGCGGCCGAUAUCAGAUUAGCUAGUUGGUGAGGUAAAGGCUCACCAAGGCGACGAUCUGUAGCUGGUCUGAGAGGACGACCAGCCACACUGGAACUGAGACACGGUCCAGACUCCUACGGGAGGCGGCAGUGGGGAAUUUUGGACAAUGGGCGCAAGCCUGAUCCAGCAAUGCCGCGUGCAGGAUGAAGGCCUUCGGGUUGUAAACUGCUUUUGUACGGAGCGAAACGGCCUACCCUAAUACGGUGGGCUAAUGACGGUACCGUAAGAAUAAGCACCGGCUAACUACGUGCCAGCCGCCGCCGUAA